This 250-nucleotide long non-coding RNA is filed under the name Bemisia tabaci. RNAcentral describes it as "lncRNA ENSSSA1UGG000130". The record is from RNAcentral. Lineage: Eukaryota; Metazoa; Arthropoda; Insecta; Hemiptera; Aleyrodidae.
ACGUACAUAUUUGGACCGUUUGAAGAAACCUUAACCUACUCGUUUUUCUGUCCAUUCAACAUCACAAUUUAAAGGUAAACUAAAUUUCUUGGAGGACUAUUUUUCCUGUUUCCGCGUUUUAAAAUUCAAAACAAUACUAACGAAGCUAUGAAGGAAGUUUAAUUUUCAACCCAGGCUAACACCCAAACUGUGAGUGCAACAAUCUUCAAAAUUAGAUUUUCGGUUAUUUUCGAGAAAAUUAUUGAAAUGU